RNAcentral lists this ribosomal RNA (253 nucleotides) under uncultured bacterium. RNAcentral describes it as "partial 16S ribosomal RNA". It matches the Rfam family "Bacterial small subunit ribosomal RNA", at positions 524 to 776 of the family's 1533-position model. The record is from RNAcentral.
UACGGAGGGGGCUAGCGUUGUUCGGAAUUACUGGGCGUAAAGGGCGCGUAGGCGGCGUAUCAAGUUGGAAGUGAAAGCCUGGGGCUUAACCUCAGAAUUGCUUUCAAAACUGGUACGCUUGAGAACGGUAGAGGAUGGUGGAAUUCCUAGUGUAGAGGUGAAAUUCGUAGAUAUUAGGAGGAACACCGGUGGCGAAGGCGGCCAUCUGGGCCGAUUCUGACGCUGAGGCGCGAAAGCGUGGGGAGCAAACAGG